ACCGCACCUUAUCCACAUCUAAGACACCGCAAGAUCUGAGCCGCCAACCAGCCGAUGCUCCACCGCUCCUGUUGAUCUCGCUGGCUGGCGCCGGGCUGCCGGCGCCGCAGCAUCUCUUCCCUCCUCCUCGUAUUUCUCUCCAACAGCGACCACACCUCCCAAGUCCCAACUCAAAUUCCACAAGCGCUCCUACAGGCUAACUGAACAUGUCUGCCGAGCUGCUCCUACAGGCUACAGCUGCAUCUCCUCUCCCGUUUCUUGUCAUAAUGUAUUUUUUGAUUAUUUUUUUGGUUCAUUCCAUUGACGACCACUGCUUGAGUUCUUCCCUAUGGUGUUUGACUUUUUCUUUGGUCUCUUCGGUCUGAAACUGACGACCGAACCGAAGUAUCGGUCCACCGAAUUCUCGGUUAGCAGAAUUUUAUAAGACCGAUCGGUCAUCAAUUUCCCAAAACCGAAAUCUCUCCCUAAUAACGUGGCCUUUUCUAGAAAACCCCUUUUGCUUUUCAGUAUUUGAACCCGCAAUCCCUCUUUUACUGGAUGUCAAAAAACGUUUCGUGUUUUACAAAAAGACCCCUGCCUCUUAUCCACAUCCGCUUCCUUUUUCCAGCUGCGGCGGAGCGGCAGAAGAGGGGCGGGCCGAGCAGGAGAAGUUGAGGGGUGGCGCCCUUGCCGGCGGACGGCUACAGUCGCGGCGGGGAGGCGGGGCCGUAUGCUUCAGAUGCGCGCGCGCGGACGCAGCGGCCGUCCAUGGCGGCUCGUCUCGAUCAGGAGGACGAGGGGAAGGGCUCGCGAGGGCCGGCACCGGGAAUGGAGCGGAGGCGGGUGGAUCUGGCGAUUCCGAAGGAGCUGCGGCGGCGAGCGGCUCCGUGGGCGGCGACCUGCGAGGUUCAAGCGGCGGCUGCCAUGAAGGUUGAGCGGCACCUCUGCCUCACCACGGUUCCUGCCCAGCCGAGCCCACAUAGCACGCGGCGGAGGAGAAGUUGAGGGGCGGGCGGAGCAGGAGAAGUUGAGGGGCGGCGCGUUGACGGCGGCGACAGCUUCGGGUGGGCUCGUGGGCGAGCGUGCUGCAGGAAAAAUCAGGUCCCCGCCGGCGACGAGCUUGCUGGAGCCGAUGAAGGGACCCGCGCGCGUUGGCCGGCCUUGCUCUGGCGGCGGAGCUCGAGGGCGUGCCGGCUGCUGCACGUGGCGGAGCUGCUGCUCCUGCUUUUUCACUGCGUCGGCCGGCCUUCAGUGGCGGCGGCGCCGGCCUUGCUCUGGCGACGGAGCUCGAGGGCGUGCCGGCUGCUGCACGUGGCGGAGCUGCUGCUCCUGCUGUUCCGGCGCCGUCGGCCGGCCUUCAGUGGCGGCGGCUCGAGCUCCUGGGCAUGGCCAGCGGCUGCUCCAGUUGCUGGGCGCGGCGGCCGGAGCAGCACGCACCAGUUCUUCCUGCAGCCGCGUCGCCCACGUUCCCGAAAACCACCGUCCGCCAUGGCCGAUGAACCCAGUGCUCUCGAGCCCCUCGGCUUGCUCCCGCGGCACCAACAUGCUCGAAGAAUUGCCGACGCGUCCAGGGUGGGACUGCUCUCCAAUACGGACUCCAGGUCAUUCUUGGACUGAAAGGAUUCCAGAUAGUGGCCAUGGUGGAUGGAUGAUAUGAGGUGAUCUGGGUGCUGCAUUUGAUGGCCAUGAUCUGUUUGCUGCAGGCCAACUCCCUGCUUGUGGCCUCUGAAGGAGACAACUUCCAGUUCCAGUAGACCUAUCCGAUAGAAUUCUCGAAGCUAUUAGCUUGCAAGCUCUCAAUCAGGUAUUGUAUUCGCAACUUAGCGUAUUUUUUACUGAAGUUUGGUGCCUAACUCCCAAACAUCUUUUGUCAAUGGUAAGAAUGUAGAUGUUGACAACUUGACAUGAAUUUUAUGCUUUCUGCAAGAAGAGUGGUAUCAAUAUUAAUAGAGAAGUAGACAUUGUUCGAAUUAUUCCCGAUUAUUUGUGUUAUGUUAAUAGCUGCCUGCUCCUCCUUGGUCCCCUGUCAACUGUACAAAAGGUAAUUUAUCAGAAUCUUACAGCCUUUUAGCUGCACCUGAGCCUAUGAGGUUCCUUAGUUUCACCACUGAACAUGAAGCUACUCAAGUCUGAAGUCUGAAACGAUUGUCGGCGAUCGCAUUAUGAAUUCAGAAUUGAGAAAAUGAUGCACUAUCAAUAAAAUCAUUACAACCAGUGUCGAUUUGAACCGAUGAAUGUGCUUACUUCCAUGGUGCUACAGUAUAUACAAUCCCAAUGAUUUGUAUUCCUUGUGCCAUAAAAAUUUCUGCCGAUGCAACUGUGAGCUCAGGGGCAAUUUGUUUUAUAUUUUUAUAUAGUUGCAAUAAAAUGCUACGGUUGCGCGUUGGCUUUGCAUGUCUGAUUAGCUGGCUGAUGAAUAUUGUUACUCAAUUAAAAUGAUCUGGGAUUUUUUCAUGCCAAUAAAUACUCUCUGAAUUGUUAGUGUUUUGCACAGACUUCAUGUAGCAAGAAAUGUGAUGUCUGAAGGGAUGCACAUGUCUCCUUGGCAAAAAAAGAGACCGCAAUUAACACAAAUCCAAUGCAUCAAGGUCAGCAGUUCCAUAUUUUUAUGACCGGGAGUGUACCACUUCAUGCAUGCACUUUCUUUUAUUGUCGAUAACACGCCCGAUGCUUCGCGAAAUGUCUGAAUGAGAAAGAAAGAAAGAAAGAAAGAAAGAAAGAAAGAUAGAUAGAUAGAUAGAUAGAUAGAUAGGUAGAUAGAUAGGUAGAUAGAUAGAUAGAUAGAUAGAUAGAUAGAUAGAUAGAUAGAUAGAUAGAGAUAGAGAGUAUGUAAGUGAUGGAGCAUCAUGUGGCCUUGACGCACGGGCAUUCGUAUCUACUCCUACUUACUUAUAUCUUCUAUUCCCAGUUAAUUAGAAUUUUUUUAUUUGUGGUCAUCUCCUAAGUAAGCAAAUUAUUUUUUGUGUUAAAGAGGAGUACGUUCUGUUUUUAUUUGUGACCUGAAGGUCAGCAACGUAAAGCUUGCAUGCAUCUGAAGGCAUGUUCCAUCCUUGAAUAUAUACUAAUAUAAAGGCAUGUUACAAUUGUGGGCAGGUAGAAAAUUCAUCAUUUUAUACAAGGACUAUGGAGUUAAAUUUUGGUUGGUUGCUUUCGACUUUCACCAUUUGGCCAGCUCUAUCUCUUUCACACCUCUUCCUCUGUGACAAAGGGAUGAAGCUAUUGGUUUUGAAAUUUGAAAUAGAGGCCUGAAGUUGGCACCAAUGCUCCAAUGCAAAUUUGAUACAUCAAGCGCUUGAUAUAUGUUUAUAAUCAUCUGCAAGACUGCGUUAAGAAAAUGAUGUGAAAUAUUUAGAUUGGUACGCUGCGAGGAGUGGGCUGGAAUGACAUGUUUCCUCUCUCUAUAUUGUCAUAGUGGUGGAGGUACAUGCAGAUCUGACGCCAUUUUUACAUAUUUGCAUAUAUCAAUGGUCAAUAUUUUUUUUGUGUUUUCCUACUGACAUUUACAUACUACUUUGCGUUUUAAAAGCUACAAACAGUUUUCUCUGUGCAGACCAUGAAGAGAUGCAUCUCAGAGGACAAGCAAUGCCAUGUUUUCAUUGUACUGAAAAUACUUAGUUUCCUGCCAAUUUUGUUAGUAAUCUAUAUAUAACUAUAUUUCUUAUUGAUUUUCUCUGUGCAGACCAUAAAGGGAUGCCUCCCGGGACAAGCAUCGUCGUAUUUUCAUUGUACUAAAAAACAUAAUUUCCUGGUCAUUUUUGUUAUUAAUCCGUACAUAACUAUAUUUAUUAUCAUGAGGUGAAAAUAUUCUGAGGAUGCUUUCAGGUACAUAAAUAAAGAUAUAUAAUGUAUUCAGCUUCUGCUUACACUUUAGUUCAAUGUGUUCAUUACCUCAUACCACCAGCAGUGCCAGUUUUGCUUACUUCCAUUAAUAGCCAUGUAGGGAUUAAUCCUGCCCUGUUAUGUCCUGUCCAAUUACAUAUUUAUGCCUUCUCUUUGGAUUUAGAUUAAUUAGAUAUUGUAUUAUGAGAUAUUGUAUUAUGAGACUAGAGACAUGUUAUUGGUAAUUUGAGCAUUUGCUUU
This is a long non-coding RNA of Aegilops tauschii subsp. strangulata, 4059 nucleotides long. RefSeq lists it as uncharacterized. The record is from RefSeq and is a predicted model, not a curated record. NCBI's taxonomy places the organism in Eukaryota, Viridiplantae, Streptophyta, Magnoliopsida, Poales, Poaceae.